CCCGGGGUCCCGAGGCUCCCAGCAAAGCCCGCCCUGGACCUCUGCCCUGCCGCCUUCACGGGGAAUAGUUUUACGAGGAGAGCUCCCUGGGGAAAUGCGGAACCAGGGAAACCGAAUUUAGCCUUUUGUUGCGAGGGAGCCUCCGAGCCCCGCUUCCUGCGGGCAGGGAGAGGAUUCUGGAGGGCGGUAGAAACUAAGUCUGGAGACCUGUCUCAUACUGCUGGCCAGACCCUAGGCAGGUCUUUCAGGGCCCAAGUUUCCUCAUCUGCAAAAUAAAGUGGUCAUCGAAAAUGACCUGUGGAGCCGCCCACUAGAUUUGAAAUUCUGUGUGCAAACUGCCCCCGGAGCAGCUGAAAGGAAAUCGAGGUGUUCACUUGCCCCCUUUGAAGUCCAGGGAUUGUCAAGAAAUUCCUUUAACGAAUUCUCCCUGAUUUUGCUUUAUCAAGUGCGGCUUCUUGUUAAUCUGGAAAAUGGGAAUACAUACCUCUCCUCUCAGCUUGCCGUGAUGGUUGGGAAAAUGUGUAUGUGAACACAAUAUUGAAAUGUACCUAGAGACACAACAUAGGUAGGUAGGUAGGUAGGUAGGUAGAUACUGCUAUCCGUACUAUUACUCGAUCAUUCUAUUUUUAGUGCCUGAAAUCUACCUGAUGGUGUCCAGAUUUUAUUGCUUCUUUCAGUUUAAAGAGCAAGAAUUUAUGCUUCCAGUGCCUUUGGAAGAGGAAGGGAAGAAGUUUGUUCUGGUUAUGUUUUGUACCGCAAAUGUGGAAAAGAAAUGUUGCCUGCAACCACACACACAUAACUUGGCUUCUUUGGUCAACAUCCCUUUCCUUUAAGAGUGUAUAACACUGUAGUGCUUUUACAUGACAGAUGCAGCAUUCAUCUCAAACAGGGUUUUUUGGGAUGUUUCAGACUGGUGACAUUUUGGAUUGGGUAAGGUGCCUUACAAAUUCCUUGUUAAAUUUCAGUGCUGCCCCUUGAAGCAUUACAUUGUGGUGGCUAAAGGCACGGCUGCAAGUCAGGUAAACCUAGGUUCAAAUCUGGGCUUUCCCUUCAUACCAGCUUUGUGUUGGCCAAAUCACUUAGCCACAUGAAGCCUGUUUCUUUGUCUAUAAUAAAAGAGGGAUAAUCAUUUUUACCUCAUAAAAGGAUUAAUUGUGAUAGCACAUGCAGAAGAGAUUGAGUAGUCCUUGGUGCAUCGUAAAUGUUUAGAAAACAGCAAUUAUAAUUAUCAUAGGCCAAGUUCUAUAAUCUGAGGUGAUUGGAUUCUUUCUUUCCCCAUAGCGACUUUUGAAUACAACUUUUCUGACUCAGUGUAAUGCUUUACCAUUCAUUAUAUCAAACUGGACUUAACCUUGGUAACACAGUGAGCUGUCUUCAUCUCUUUCUGUAAAGGUUUGAGUUUAAAUGGUCGAGGAAGGGGAGCAAAGGAGGAGAAAAGUGAUAUUUUUAUUUUAAAAGAUGUUAUUAAUCAUUUCCAGAUACCAAACUACCGAACCAUAAGCCAGAGCCUCUGCUGCACACACCACCAGCCCCUGAGGUGGGGAUGACAAACAUAACAGAGAACGGAAUGGUAAGGCGUGAGUGCGGUUCUGCAGGCUUAUGGUAUUUCUGCCAUUUGAGUGCCUGCUUCCCUUCCUAGAUGUCUUGACCUCAUUGAGCAGUUUAUUCAUUGUCAUAUCCCCCAGUAGUGUCCACGGUGAGUGUUCAAUAAAUGAUAUUUGUUAACCACACAGAAGUGACAGCAGCACCAUCAAGAGAACAUGUGCUUUGAGCUGCUUUUCCAAGAAUGGAAAUGGAUUUGCUUUGAUCCAUUCAUGUGACCAGGGGCACGCUUUGUAAGGGUUAGGAACAUAAUACAUGACCACUGACUCUUUCAGGAGUGAACAAGAGGCCUUGUCCUCCUUGGCCAGCCCCACAUUUACUUAAAAUGAUGAAAUUAGGGCGCAGAUGAGUCCAAGAACUGACCAGGGAGGCUUGAGCAUAGGCGAGAAGUAAAAGCAGAAGAAAACCCUUAACUGGUUCACCCGCAGAAACCCAGACUGUACUUUUAGAGAAGUUAAAAGUAAAACAGCCUGUUUCAUCCAGUUUGACUUUGCUGUGUCUGCUGCCCUUUCUUCUCCUUCCCCUUCUUCCCUAAAUUGCCACCCGCCCCCAUUCUUCACCCCCACCAUAAAAAGAGCAUUAGAAUGCUUGAACCCAUGAACUUUUCUGUUUCUUGGUACACACCAUAUCAGUGCUGACAAGGGGUUCCAUUGCAUGUGCUUUGAAGUCAUAUUUUUCUCUCUUAGAGUAGAAUUGCCAUGUCCAAGGGGUGGGUGGAGUGGGAGAGCAAUUACAGGGAAAGAUUUUGUUCCAAAUCUGCAGAAAUAGCCUGAGAUUAAAAGUAUUUCUUCAAUGUUGUUCUGCUGCCUGAAAUAAAAGCUUUGUAUUAGGAUUUUGCUCUACUCCCAAAUCUUAUCUCUAUUAGGAAACAACUUUUCUCUUUUUUUUUUUUUUUUUUUUUUUUUUUUUUGAGACGGAGUCUUACUCUGUUGCUCAGGCUGGAUGCAGUGGCGCAAUCUCGGCUCACUGCAACCUCCACUCACUGUAACCUCUGCCUCCCGGGUUCAAGCAAUUCUCCUGCCUCAGCCUCCCAAGGAGCUGGGAUUACAGGCGUGUGCCACCACACCCAGCUAAUUUUUUGGUAUUUUUAGUAGAGACGAGGUUUCACCAUAUUGGCCAGACUUGUCUUGAACUCCUGACCUUGUGAUCCGCCUGCCUCGGCCUCCCAAAGUGCUGCGAUUACAGGCGUGAGCCACUGUGCCCGGCCCUUUCUCUGUCUUUUAAAGGAUCCAUUCUCACUCUGCAAGUAUGAAGUCCUUUACCUGGGGAUCUGGAGUGCCUUCCCAGGGCCUGUGUGGUUGCCUUAUACACAUUAGACACAAAAUUUAGGGUAGGGCUCACAUUGACCAAACCUUUUCUGUUUAGGAAAUGGAGUUUUCCCUGUGUAUGAAUGAUUUCAAUAGGCAUUCAGUGAGACCUUUAAAUCAUGUUAAAGAGAUACAAUUGAGACUCAGGGUUGGGGAACACCCUGGAAACCCAACCCAGAAUUGUAAAAUAUUCUUUUAAAAAUUAUUAUUAUGUAAUAAACCAACAUCAGUUCUUUCCAAAAGAAUGGACCAUAGUAG
Molecule: long non-coding RNA, 3167 nt
Filed under: Homo sapiens (human)
Lineage: Eukaryota; Metazoa; Chordata; Mammalia; Primates; Hominidae
Description: HSALNT0018448
Source: RNAcentral